Molecule: long non-coding RNA, 3255 nt
Filed under: Canis lupus familiaris (dog)
Lineage: Eukaryota; Metazoa; Chordata; Mammalia; Carnivora; Canidae
Description: lncRNA (ENSCAFG00040019895.1)
Source: RNAcentral
CAUGGGACUCAGAUAACGGUGACUCUGGCAUUUUUUUUUCUUAAGUUGCAACACAACUUUAGCUUUUCCACAAGGCACACGUCCAUUGUUCCAGGGUUAGAUAACAUUUUUCUGGAACUCAAAAGAAAACAAAGUCGUAUUCGGAAUGACAACUUAUAAACAUUUCAGGAAAAUAUGCCAAUGUGCUGAUGCCCACAUACGUGGCCUCCCCUCACGCUCCUCCUGUCUUCACAGCUAACCACUGUCACUGGGGAAAGAUCCAUGUUGGGAGGAAGCUACGAUAGUGUGGAGACGGGAGAAGGCAAUUCUUGGCCCGGGGAGAGAAUGGAAACCAUCUGAGAUCCCUCAGCUACGGACCCUCUAGGUCAGGAGGCGUCCAACAGUAAGGAGAGUUUCCGCGAGCUGAGCACCGCUCUGGACGGAGCUAAACCACAGUGGUGGGGUUCGGGGGGCCCCGGCUUGGCCACAGUAGGAAUAAAGGACACAGGUGAGAACAGCUGUUUCAAGGAAGCCCCCGUGAAGAAAGUCAGGUUUGGGUGACAGCGGGGGGAGGAGGAGGCGCUCCCUGGCAGAAGGCCGCAGGCAGGCCCACUAAUCCGCCUGAGGGCAAGACUGAGCGGCUGACACAGAGCAGGGUCGGCUGCUGCGCCAAGGCCAGGACGCAAGGGGCUGAGGUCGGCCCGAGGGUAGGAUGCUCUUCCACCGGCAGGUUGGAAACUGCAGAAACUUCUGUGCCACAUGCCCCUGAUCGGACAAUAUAUUCCAGACAAAGCAGAGACACCAGAAGCAUUUCAACAGAAAAAUAGGAUACCCUCCUCCAGCUCCUAAUUAUGGCAAUGAAAGGAUUCAAAAUAUGCGUGUCCUAUUCGUGUAUUCACUUAGCAAUUUCUAUUAUUUAGUUAGUUUGGACUCGAAUAUUCAACCGUUACUUUUUGAAACCUUUGGACAAGUAAAGAACCAAUUAGAAGAGUGGACCUUUUUUUAACUCAUUUUAGAGGAAGCCAGUCUGUUGGAGCUGGGUCACCUUGAAACACGUGAAGAAGUGAUGUCAUAUCCAGCACUCACUUCACUCGAUUUCAUGAAAGACUUGGUGCAAAGUCUCCAGCUUAGGAAGGUGCUAUGGGCCGUGCACUCCACCAGAGGGCUCUGCAGAAGCAGUGGCUACUGCAGCUGAAGAUUCAGAUGUGAAGAUCAGCUCUUUGACAAAAAAGCACAGAGGUCUUCCCCGGAAUUGGCAUCACUUUAUUUUUAGGUUUUGUUUGAUUGGCUUCCUGAUUAGUAGUAAUUAAGAAGGGUUAUGGAGGCCUAUGUGUGAGUUUUAUCUGAUCAUAUAGCCACCUUUGACUCACCGUAUCUGGACUCUGUGAUGAAUUCAUCUUAACCCCAAAGAAUCCAGAAAACAAAGCAUCACAUUUGAUUUCUGGUCCAAAGAAGGCUACUUAUGUCUACACUACAAGGUGUUGAGAUGACUGACACUAUUUCUUCUUUAUCAUCCUCUCUUCUACACAGUUUCCUCAUUAAACUUCCCCAUUGAAAUGGAUAAUGAGAAUGCAUGAAGGUAAGAUUUACAGUAUAUUUGAGAUUCUUUCUCCAAAAUAUGAGAGUGUAAAAUUUACUGAACAAGUUAAAGGAAUAUGAUGAAAGUGAUGGUGAUUCGGGAUCUCCAGUGAUGGUGAUGCAGGAUCUCCAAAAUGGGUAGUCACGUGCAUGGUGUGUCUGGUGUGCGUGGUGGACAGAAGACAGGCUCACCAGUAGUAUUUAUGGUAAAGGUAUUGCAGAGAGCAACAACUAUAGCAAACACUGAAUAGCUCGGUUUUAACACUCCAAAUUUAAAAGUUUACAUCUUCAAAAAGGGAUCAAAAUAAAAAUGUAUAGACCAAAUGCCCUAAUAUCCUUCUUGAGCAACAACAUACCUGAUGUUCCCAUGGAAUGUCUCCAGCUCUCAUUAGUAAAAGUGACACCCCAUCAUGCUAUUUCAAGAGAGACAUGGUACACUCUUUGAACAAGUACAGAAAACUCUUGUAGGGAUGAGCCUUUCCAUUGGAGGAGAACAUGCCUAACUAAGAAAUAUGGAUUUCUUUUCUAUCUUUACUGUAAAAAACUUGAAUUAUGUAUUUUUAAUAAACUUCAGAGUGGAAUUUUGAAUGACUCACAAUAUUUAACAAUGUCUUCGUUUCACAAUCUUCUUAGAAUUAUAUUUGAUGGGUUGAUGGAGACCUGUCAUUGAUGGAAGGACAAGCCAAACCUAACCAAUACCACACUAUAUUAUGACAAGCCUGAUGAAGUCCAGGAUACUGCAUUGUUGGGAAUAUAAAGGUGUCUACGAGUGCGGAUGAUCUAUAGACCACCUGUCACCAGAAUUUGAGCCUGCCAAAAGAUGAGUUCAUCCAAAACACUAUGUAAUUAGCAAAUAAAAUAUAAAUCCCAGGAGAGCAAAGAUCUUGGUCUCCUUUGUUCACUGCUGUCUUCCCAGCAUCUAGAAUAGUACUUGGCUCAUUAUAGGUCCACAAUCAAUAUUUGUUAAAUGAAUGAAAACAUAAUUCACAUUCAUGAUAAUAUAUCAUGAAUUAAGGGUUUUUUUUAUUCUGCUUUGUCCCUUUUUCAGAUUCAUUUUAUGUCAGACCUCAACACUCUACCUCGUAGCUUCAUUCUUUAGUUUUCCUUUUCAAAUAGUUUAGCAUAGCCCAGAAUGCAGACAGAGGAGUUACUCACAUGUAACUCCAGUAGCACGGUGAAUUAGUAAGAUAUAUUCCAUUAUAUUUAAAUAAAUUAAUGUAUUUGCCUUUAUGAUGGAAACUUAAACAGCAACCCUAUACCUGCAUCCCUUUAAAAGAUAGAUAACUAGGUUGACUAGACAAUGUUAAGGGCUAUUUAAUUGAACUAUUGACCCUAGAGAGAGAUAUCUGGAAAUUAUUCUUUUUUUUUUUUUUUUAUUUUUGGAAAUUAUUCUUGAGGCAACCAAUAACCAAACAGCAAAACCCUUUUUCUGUAUAUCAGUUGAAUUUAUUUAUUUAACAAUCUUUGUUAACUUAUUUAUUUUCAUUUGUAAUAAGUUAACUUUCUACAGAGGAAUUUAAAGAAGACAAAACUACAAUUUAACAAAACAGUGCAGAUACUUCGAUCUAUAAAAUUGUAGAAUAAUAGAGAAAUAAUUCUCUUUAUUUUUAAAAUUUAAAAUACUCAAAAUGCAAUCAAUAUUUUAUUUUGCAGUUUACCCCCAAAAGUAAGGAGAAGGACAUUUUUAUACCUUUAAAC